UGAGGCUGUGUGGCUCCAGUUUUCUUCUGCAAGCCUAUUUGUCUGACAUUGGAUCGUGGAGGACAGUGUGCUCAGAUGGAUGGGCUGAUCACCAUGGGAAGGCAGCCUGACAGUGUUUAGGAUACAGCAGAGACACAUGUUAAAUCUGGCCGACAAAUGCCAGUGGAUUCUUAAUGCUGAAGUCUGGAUCAAGCCCUGACACACCCAUAAUGCAACAGCUUGCGGGCACGUCAGUGAAAAAAUUGAAACCUGUCCCAGUGUUAAUGGGGUGACCCUGAAGUGCAUAGGUAAGUCAUUAUGUAACUUUCUCAGUAAAUAGGUAUAGAGCAACUUCAUGUAAAGUGUUACCACCUGAUAAACCUCUGUCUCCAGACUGUGGUACCAGAGUAGUCUCCAAUUUGAGUUGUGUAGUGGGGGGCCAGGAGGCUAGUUUGGGGGCCAUGGCAGGUCAGCCUCCAGGACUUUCACGUCUGCGCGGUUCCAUCAUCACCCCAUACUGGAUAGUGAUGGCAGCACACUGCAUAGUGGAGUAAGUCCAUAGACAUAUAUACUGUACAGUAUGUGCACUAUAUCAUUGAAAUAUACACUACCGGUCAAAAGUUUUAGAACACCCCCAUUUUUCCAGUUUUUAUCGCAACAUAAGCAGUUCAAGUCCAUUGAAUAACCUGAAAUGGUACAAAGGUAAGAAGUAAACUUCCAGAGGUUAAUUUUUUUUAAAGGGUUUAGGUUAACAAAAACAGAAAAAUAAUGUACAUUUCAGAGUUAUAAGAAAGGGCCUUUUUCAGGGAAAAGGUAAUGGGUUAACAACAUACAGCUGUUCUGGAGCAAUGGAAGUAAAUUAAGCCUUGAAAGUUGAUGCUCACGUUUCCUACAGGUGUCCCAACUUUUGUUGAUUACUUACCAACCCUCUGUCUGGAUAACAGCAGUGUUGGAACAGACUGUGUUACUACACACUUUCAGCAUUAUUUGGACAUUAUUGUACUGCAGGAAGUAGUAUAUUGCUAUCAUAAUGUUGAGGAAAAAUGCAAUUAACAAAAGACAGACCAUUAUAACCCUUAACAGUGUAGGUCUUUCCUACACUGUUUCCUACACCAUCAAAAGGCACUUGGAAACUGGAGGAAAUUCUGACAGGAAGAGGUCUGGCAGACCCAAAACCACAACAGAAUCAGAAUACAAGUUUCUGAGAGUCAACAGCUUGCGUGAUAGGCGGCUCACAGGACAACAGCUUCAAGCACCUCUUAACACUGGUUGAAGUAAGCAAGUCUCAGUUUCAACUGUGAAGAGAAGACUUCGAGCUGCAGGUUUGACAGGUUGAGUGGCAGUAAGAAAGCCACUGCUAAGAUGGCAAAAUAAGAAGAGGCUUGCCUGGGCCACGAAGCACUGCCGGUGGACUACUGAAGACUGGACGACGGUCUUAUGGAUCGAGGAACAAACCAGACAUCUAUGGAAACGUGGCCUUCUUCCUAGGCUGGAUCUAUGAAACCAUUAAAUCCAUUGUUAUGAUUUACAUGCAUACACUUUUUAAUAAUAGGAAGUUGUAACUAUGGUGUGUUUGGUUUUGCAGAAAUAAAGAUAAACUGGGAAAUCACUGGUGGACAAUCAGAAUGAAAUGGUGGAAACAUUUUUCUGAAUAGAAAAGCCAGAAAGAUGUUUGUACGUACAGUGUUAUCAGAAAUUCCGAUGUUAUAAACAACAAAUUCAAUAUUUGUGCUCAUUUGUAUGUAUUCAUUAAAUGACUACUUCUACAUCCUGAUACUGUUCAGUUUGAAAAGUCAUUACGUUUAUGUACCACUUUGACCACCAGAUGGUGCUUGUUCUUGGUAGUUCCUCUUGAGCUCAAGAUUAGAGAC
Long non-coding RNA from Oncorhynchus gorbuscha (pink salmon), 1850 nucleotides. RefSeq lists it as uncharacterized. The record is from RefSeq and is a predicted model, not a curated record. The transcript is spliced from 3 exons. Lineage: Eukaryota; Metazoa; Chordata; Actinopteri; Salmoniformes; Salmonidae.